Molecule: ribosomal RNA, 1435 nt
Filed under: uncultured organism
Description: partial small subunit ribosomal RNA
Rfam family: Bacterial small subunit ribosomal RNA
Source: RNAcentral
GCGGCGUGCUUAACACAUGCAAGUCGAACGGAAAGGCCCUGCUUUUGUGGGGUGCUCGAGUGGCGAACGGGUGAGUAACACGUGAGUAACCUGCCCUUGACUUUGGGAUAACUUCAGGAAACUGGGGCUAAUACCGGAUAGGAGCUCCUGCUGCAUGGUGGGGGUUGGAAAGUUUCGGCGGUUGGGGAUGGACUCGCGGCUUAUCAGCUUGUUGGUGGGGUAGUGGCUUACCAAGGCUUUGACGGGUAGCCGGCCUGAGAGGGUGACCGGCCACAUUGGGACUGAGAUACGGCCCAGACUCCUACGGGAGGCAGCAGUGGGGAAUAUUGCACAAUGGGCGGAAGCCUGAUGCAGCAACGCCGCGUGCGGGAUGACGGCCUUCGGGUUGUAAACCGCUUUCGCCUGUGACGAAGCGUGAGUGACGGUAAUGGGUAAAGAAGCACCGGCUAACUACGUGCCAGCAGCCGCGGUGAUACGUAGGGUGCGAGCGUUGUCCGGAUUUAUUGGGCGUAAAGGGCUCGUAGGUGGUUGAUCGCGUCGGAAGUGUAAUCUUGGGGCUUAACCCUGAGCGUGCUUUCGAUACGGGUUGACUUGAGGAAGGUAGGGGAGAAUGGAAUUCCUGGUGGAGCGGUGGAAUGCGCAGAUAUCAGGAGGAACACCAGUGGCGAAGGCGGUUCUCUGGGCCUUUCCUGACGCUGAGGAGCGAAAGCGUGGGGAGCGAACAGGCUUAGAUACCCUGGUAGUCCACGCUGUAAACGGUGGGUACUAGGUGUGGGGUCCAUUCCACGGGUUCCGUGCCGUAGCUAACGCUUUAAGUACCCCGCCUGGGGAGUACGGCCGCAAGGCUAAAACUCAAAGGAAUUGACGGGGCCCCGCACAAGCGGCGGAGCAUGCGGAUUAAUUCGAUGCAACGCGUAGAACCUUACCUGGGUUUGACAUGGAUCGGGAGUGCUCAGAGAUGGGUGUGCCUCUUUUGGGGUCGGUUCACAGGUGGUGCAUGCCUGUCGUCAGCUCGUGUCGUGAGAUGUUGGGUUAAGUCCCGCAACGAGCGCAACCCUUGUUCACUGUUGCCAGCACGUUAUGGUGGGGACUCAGUGGAGACCGCCGGGGUCAACUCGGAGGAGGGUGGGGAUGACGUCAAGUCCUCAUGCCCCUUAUGUCCAGGGCUUCACGCAUGCUACAAUGGCUGGUACAGAGAGUGGCGAGCCUGUGAGGGUGAGCGAAUCUCGGAAAGCCGGUCUCAGUUCGGAUUGGGGUCUGCAACUCGACCUCAUGAAGUCGGAGUCGCUAGUAAUCGCAGAUCAGCAACGCUGCGGUGAAUACGUUCCCGGGGCUUGUACACACCGCCCGUCAAGUCAUGAAAGUUGGUAACACCCGAAGCCGGUGGCCUAACCGUUGUGGGGGAGCCGUCGAAGGUGGGACUGGUGAUUAGGAC